RNAcentral lists this ribosomal RNA (482 nucleotides) under uncultured bacterium. Its description in RNAcentral is "partial 16S ribosomal RNA". It matches the Rfam family "Bacterial small subunit ribosomal RNA", at positions 30 to 507 of the family's 1533-position model. The record is from RNAcentral.
AUUGAACGCUGGCGGCAUGCCUUACACAUGCAAGUCGAACGGUAACGGGCCUUCGGGUGCCGACGAGUGGCGAACGGGUGCGUAAUACAUCGGAACGUGCCCGAUCGUGGGGGAUAACGAGGCGAAAGCUUUGCUAAUACCGCAUACGAUCUACGGAUGAAAGCAGGGGACCGCAAGGCCUUGCGCGGACGGAGCGGCCGAUGGCAGAUUAGGUAGUUGGUGGGAUAAAAGCUUACCAAGCCGACGAUCUGUAGCUGGUCUGAGAGGAUGAUCAGCCACACUGGGACUGAGACACGGCCCAGACUCCUACGGGAGGCAGCAGUGGGGAAUUUUGGACAAUGGGCGCAAGCCUGAUCCAGCCACGCCGCGUGCAGGAUGAAGGCCUUCGGGUUGUAAACUGCUUUUGUACGGAACGAAAAGCCUUCUUUUAAUACAGGAGGGUCAUGACGGUACCGUAAGAAUAAGCACCGGCUAACUACGUG